UACAGAGGGUGCGAGCGUUAAUCGGAUUCACUGGGCGUAAAGGGUGCGUAGGUGGUUGGGUAAGUCUGAUGUGAAAUCUCCGGGCUCAACCCGGAAAUGGCAUUGGAUACUAUCUAGCUCGAGGAUCGGAGGGGGGACUGGAAUUCUUGGUGUAGCAGUGAAAUGCGUAGAUAUCAAGAGGAACACCAGUGGCGAAGGCGAGUCCCUGGACGAUUCCUGACACUGAGGCACGAAAGCUAGGGGAGCAAACAGG
Molecule: ribosomal RNA, 253 nt
Filed under: uncultured bacterium
Lineage: Bacteria
Description: partial 16S ribosomal RNA
Rfam family: Bacterial small subunit ribosomal RNA
Source: RNAcentral